This 253-nucleotide ribosomal RNA is filed under the name uncultured bacterium. RNAcentral describes it as "partial 16S ribosomal RNA". It matches the Rfam family "Bacterial small subunit ribosomal RNA", at positions 524 to 776 of the family's 1533-position model. The record is from RNAcentral.
UACGUAGGGGGCUAGCGUUGUCCGGAAUCAUUGGGCGUAAAGCGCGUGUAGGCGGUCCGGUAAGUCCGCUGUGAAAGUCGGGGGCUCAACCCUCGGAUGCCGGUGGAUACUGUCGGGCUAGAGUGCGGGAGAGGCGAGUGGAAUUCCUGGUGUAGCGGUGAAAUGCGCAGAUAUCAGGAGGAACACCAAUGGCGAAGGCAGCACUCUGGGACGUGACUGACGCUGAGACGCGAAAGCGUGGGGAGCAAACAGG